UGGGGAAUAUUGGACAAUGGGGGCAACCCUGAUCCAGCCAUGCCGCGUGUGUGAAGAAGGCCUUAGGGUUGUAAAGCACUUUCAGUGGGGAGGAAAAGUUAACGGCUAAUACCCGUUAGCCCUGACGUUACCUACAGAAGAAGCACCGGCAAACUCCGUGCCAGCAGCCGCGGUAAUACAGAGGGUGCAAGCGUUAAUCGGAAUUACUGGGCGUAAAGCGUGCGUAGGCGGCCUGGUCAGUCGGAUGUGAAAGCCCCGGGCUUAACCUGGGAAUUGCAUUCGAUACUGCCAGGCUAGAAUGUAGUAGAGGGAAGUGGAAUUCCGGGUGUAGCGGUGAAAUGCGUAGAUAUCCGGAGGAACAUCAGUGGCGAAGGCGACUUCCUGGACUAACAUUGACGCUGAGGUGCGAAAGCGUGGGGAUCAAACAGGAUUAGAUACCCUGGUAGUCCACGCCGUAAACGAUGUCAACUAGAUGUUGGGGGGUAUAACCCUUUAGUAUCACAGCUAACGCAUUAAGUUGACCGCCUGGGGAGUACGGUCGCAAGAUUA
Molecule: ribosomal RNA, 549 nt
Filed under: uncultured bacterium
Lineage: Bacteria
Description: bacterial SSU rRNA
Rfam family: Bacterial small subunit ribosomal RNA
Source: RNAcentral